RNAcentral lists this ribosomal RNA (508 nucleotides) under uncultured bacterium. RNAcentral's name for it is "bacterial SSU rRNA". It matches the Rfam family "Bacterial small subunit ribosomal RNA", at positions 28 to 584 of the family's 1533-position model. The record is from RNAcentral.
AACGAACGCUGGCGGCAGGCCUAACACAUGCAAGUCGAACGGUCCUUCGGGACAGUGGCGCACGGGUGAGUAACGCGUGGGAACCUACCCAUCGGUGGGGGAUAACCUCGGGAAACUGAGGCUAAUACCGCAUACGCCCUUUGGGGGAAAGAUUUAUCGCCGAUGGAUGGGCCCGCGUCCGAUUAGGUAGUUGGUGGGGUAACGGCCCACCAAGCCUGCGAUCGGUAGCUGGUCUGAGAGGAUGAUCACCCACACUGGGACUGAGACACGGCCCACACUCCUACGGGAGGCAGCAGUGGGGAAUAUUGGACAAUGGGCGCAAGCCUGAUCCAGCCAUGCCGCGUGGGUGAAGAAGGCCCUAGGGUUGUAAAGCCCUUUCGGCGGGGACGAUGAUGACGGUACCCGCAAAAGACGCCCCGGCUAUCUUCGUGCCAGCAGCCGCGGUAAUACGAAGGGGGCUAGCGUUGUUCGGAAUCACUGGGCGUAAAGCGCGCGUAGGCGGUUCGCC